This 266-nucleotide ribosomal RNA is filed under the name uncultured bacterium. Its description in RNAcentral is "partial 16S ribosomal RNA". It matches the Rfam family "Bacterial small subunit ribosomal RNA", at positions 110 to 353 of the family's 1533-position model. The record is from RNAcentral.
GUAACACGUAAACAAACCCUGCCUUCAGGAUGGGGACAACAGACGGAAACGACUGCUAAUACCGAAUAAGUUCCGAGAGCCGCAUGGCCCAUGGAAGAAAAAGGUGGCCUCUACCUGUAAGCUAUCGCCUGAAGAGGGGUUUGCGUCUGAUUAGCUGGUUGGAGGGGUAACGGGCCCACCAAGGCGACGAUCAGUAGCCGGUCUGAGAGGAUGAACGGCCACACUGGAACUGAGACACGGUCCAGACUCCUACGGGAGGCAGCAUG